RNAcentral lists this long non-coding RNA (373 nucleotides) under Dicentrarchus labrax (European seabass). RNAcentral describes it as "lncRNA (ENSDLAG00005032857.1)". The record is from RNAcentral. Lineage: Eukaryota; Metazoa; Chordata; Actinopteri; Moronidae.
AUGGGGUGGGGACAGGAAGGAGUUCUGACAAGACUGCAAGAUCUACACAGACCAAAGCAGCAAAGGAAACGCAUGACAAUAACAUUUUGUAAAUGGUAUUUCAUAAACCAGUUUGAUCCAGUGAAUGAACCAGGUGAAGCUCAACACUCAGAGAAGAAUGAUGAAAGCACAGGAGGAGAGUCUGAAAUGAAGUCUGUACCAUCCACAACCAGUGAGAAAGGUAACAUUAACCAAGAACUGAUUGUACAGUCACAUUGAUUUUAUAGAUUAUAUUUCAGUGGAGUUUUUAACAGAAUUAGAUUAUUUACUUUUAUUUUGUCAGUGCAUUGACAGAGUGCUGUCUGUCUACCUUUUACAGUGUUGUUUCAGUGAU